This 667-nucleotide ribosomal RNA is filed under the name uncultured fungus. Its description in RNAcentral is "eukaryotic LSU rRNA". It matches the Rfam family "Eukaryotic large subunit ribosomal RNA", at positions 24 to 664 of the family's 3401-position model. The record is from RNAcentral. Lineage: Eukaryota; Fungi.
CCCGCUGAACUUAAGCAUAUCAAUAAGCGGAGGAAAAGAAACUAACAAGGAUUCCCCUAGUAACUGCGAGUGAAGCGGGAAAAGCUCAAAUUUAAAAUCUGGCGGUUCUUGUAGCCGUCCGAGUUGUAAUUUAGAGAAGUGUUAUCCGCGCUGGACCGUGUACAAGUCUCCUGGAAUGGAGCGUCAUAGAGGGUGAGAAUCCCGUCUUUGACACGGACUGCCAGGGCAUUGUGAUGCGCUCUCAAAGAGUCGAGUUGUUUGGGAAUGCAGCUCAAAAUGGGUGGUAAAUUCCAUCUAAAGCUAAAUAUUGAGGAGAGACCGAUAGCGAACAAGUACCGUGAGGGAAAGAUGAAAAGAACUUUGGAAAGAGAGUUAAACAGUACGUGAAAUUGCUGAAAGGGAAACGCUUGAAGUCAGUCGCGUCGCUCAGGACUCAGCCUUGCUUUGCUUGGUGUACUUCUCGGCUGACGGGUCAGCAUCAAUUUUGAUCCUUGGAUAAUGGCAAGGGAAAGGUAGCACCUUUACAGGUGUGUUAUAGUCCUCUGCCGGAUGCAAGGGUUGGGAUUGAGGAACUCAGCACGCACCUUGUCGGUGUCGGGGCCUUGGCCUACGUUACGUGCUUAGGAUGCUGGCAUAAUGGCUUUAAACGACCCGUCUUGAAACACGG